This 473-nucleotide ribosomal RNA is filed under the name uncultured organism. Its description in RNAcentral is "partial 16S ribosomal RNA". It matches the Rfam family "Bacterial small subunit ribosomal RNA", at positions 335 to 799 of the family's 1533-position model. The record is from RNAcentral.
ACUCCUACGGGAGGCAGCAGUGGGGAAUUUUGGACAAUGGGCGAAAGCCUGAUCCAGCAAUGCCGCGUGAGUGAAGAAGGCCUUCGGGUUGUAAAGCUCUUUUGUCAGGGAAGAAACGGUGAAAGCUAAUAUCUUUUGCUAAUGACGGUACCUGAAGAAUAAGCACCGGCUAACUACGUGCCAGCAGCCGCGGUAAUACGUAGGGUGCAAGCGUUAAUCGGAAUUACUGGGCGUAAAGCGUGCGCAGGCGGUUUUGUAAGUCUGAUGUGAAAUCCCCGGGCUCAACCUGGGAAUUGCAUUGGAGACUGCAAGGCUAGAAUCUGGCAGAGGGGGGUAGAAUUCCACGUGUAGCAGUGAAAUGCGUAGAUAUGUGGAGGAACACCGAUGGCGAAGGCAGCCCCCUGGGUCAAGAUUGACGCUCAUGCACGAAAGCGUGGGGAGCAAACAGGAUUAGAUACCCUGGUAGUCCCAUG